RNAcentral lists this ribosomal RNA (228 nucleotides) under uncultured bacterium. RNAcentral's name for it is "partial 16S ribosomal RNA". It matches the Rfam family "Bacterial small subunit ribosomal RNA", at positions 568 to 795 of the family's 1533-position model. The record is from RNAcentral.
UCUGUAGGCGGAUCUGUAAGUCAGUGGUGAAAUCUCAUAGCUUAACUAUGAAACUGCCAUUGAUACUGCAGGUCUUGAGUAAGGUAGAAGUAGCUGGAAUAAGUAGUGUAGCGGUGAAAUGCAUAGAUAUUACUUAGAACACCAAUUGCGAAGGCAGGUUACUAUGUCUUAACUGACGCUGAUGGACGAAAGCGUGGGGAGCGAACAGGAUUAGAUACCCUGGUAGUC